AACGACAUAAUUUCAUAACGACAUGGUAGUGAAGUAAUGCUUUCGGUUCACUCGGUGUUUUGUAAAGCUCAUAGUUGUGGUUUCCGGUUCCUUUGACUUUGAGAAGAUCAAGAGCGAAUUAACACCUUUCAAAAUGGCUGGAGACUUUGUUGAUGAGAGCACUAUGAAAUUUGAUAAACCAAUUCAGAAACAUUUCAACUCAUAUACUCUAAGAGGACGAAGAAAUUGGGUACUGGCAACUUACGGAACCAUUUUUGCAUUUGUAAUGUUUCGUAAAAUGACCAAAAAGACCACCAAAGUUGAAAAAUGCUGAACAUUAUACUAUUUAGAGUAAUCAUGUUUGUAGAUUGAACAGCACAUAAAAUGUUUGUGGAGAUCAAGUAUACUUUUUGAGUGGGAGUGUAUAAAUAUGUGUUUUCAACAAUUUUGAUAGCAAUUAAAUAUUUAUAUCCAA
Long non-coding RNA from Gigantopelta aegis, 454 nucleotides. RefSeq lists it as uncharacterized. NCBI's taxonomy places the organism in Eukaryota, Metazoa, Mollusca, Gastropoda, Neomphalida, Peltospiridae. The transcript is spliced from 3 exons. The record is from RefSeq and is a predicted model, not a curated record.